Molecule: transfer RNA, 73 nt
Filed under: Camelus bactrianus (Bactrian camel)
Lineage: Eukaryota; Metazoa; Chordata; Mammalia; Artiodactyla; Camelidae
Also listed under: 3 other names
Rfam family: tRNA
About the family: Transfer RNA (tRNA) molecules are approximately 80 nucleotides in length.
Source: Rfam by way of RNAcentral
GGAAGUAUAGCUCAAGUGGUAAAGUGCAUGCUUAGCAUGCAUAAGGUCCUGGGUUCAAUCCCCAGUACCUCCU